AGCAACCAGGCAAACAGCUGCACAGGAAAGACAACAUGGCAGAAAGAGAGAACCAACUCCCAAAAGUUGUCCUCUGACCUCUGCACAUGUACUCUGGCAUUUAAACUAAGUAUAAAAAUUUCAAAAGAAAAUAAAAAGUGGAAGAAAAAAGAGAUGACUUCAAAUCAACAAUCCAAGCAAACCCAGAAAAGCAAAGCAAGGAGGAAGGGAAAACAACAAAGGCAGCCACAAACAAGAUCGAGCUGGAGAGCUGGGAACAGUGGAGAAAAUGCACAAAAGAGAUCAUGUGGCCAUGCUGAGUUGUAAAGAAAAUCGUCUCCUUCGCCGAAUGUCCAUAAUGUCCUUCUCUGGUGUACUCUAAAAAGUACAAAACGCCUUUUAAAACAUUCCUUAACACAAUAAAAACUGGCUGAACAAAA
Grammomys surdaster is the source of this 419-nucleotide long non-coding RNA. RefSeq lists it as uncharacterized. NCBI's taxonomy places the organism in Eukaryota, Metazoa, Chordata, Mammalia, Rodentia, Muridae. The record is from RefSeq and is a predicted model, not a curated record. The transcript has 2 exons.